GAUGAACGCUAGCGGCAGGCUUAAUACAUGCAAGUCGAGGGGGAUUAGUUUUGUAGCAAUACGAGACUAUGAGACCGGCAAACGGGUGAGGAACACGUACACAACCUUCCUUUAAGUGGGGCAUAGCCCAGGGAAACUUGGAUUAAUACCCCGUAACAUUAUGAAGUGGCAUCACUUUAUAAUUAUAGCUCCGGCGCUUAAUGAUGGGUGUGCGUCUGAUUAGGUAGUUGGCGGAGUAACAGCCCACCAAGCCUACGAUCAGUAACUGGUGUGAGAGCACGACCAGUCACACGGGCACUGAGACACGGGCCCGACUCCUACGGGAGGCAGCAGUAAGGAAUAUUGGGCAAUGGACGCAAGUCUGACCCAGCCAUGCCGCGUGGAGGAUGAAGGUCCUCUGGAUUGUAAACUUCUUUUAUUUGGGAAGAAAUUCUCGCAUUCCUGCGGGAUUGACGGUACCAGAUGAAUAAGCACCGGCUAACUCCGUGCCAGCAGCCGCGGUAAUACGGAGGGUGCAAGCGUUAUCCGGAUUCACUGGGUCUAAAGGGUGCGUAGGCGGACAAGUAAGUCAGUGGUGAAAUCUCCGGGCUUAACCCGGAAACUGCCAUUGAUACUAUUUGUCUUGAAUACCCUGGAGGUGAGCGGAAUAUGUCAUGUAGCGGUGAAAUGCUUAGAUAUGACAUAGAACACCCAUUGCGAAGGCAGCUCACUACGGGAAUAUUGACGCUGAGGCACGAAAGCGUGGGGAUCAAACAGGAUUAGAUACCCUGGUAGUCCACGCCCUAAACGAUGAUCACUCGACAUCAGCGAUACACUGUUGGUGUCUGAGCAAAAGCAUUAAGUGAUCCACCUGGGAAGUACGAUCGCAAGAUUG
This 874-nucleotide ribosomal RNA is filed under the name uncultured bacterium. Its description in RNAcentral is "bacterial SSU rRNA". It matches the Rfam family "Bacterial small subunit ribosomal RNA", at positions 28 to 896 of the family's 1533-position model. The record is from RNAcentral.